Molecule: ribosomal RNA, 119 nt
Filed under: Octopus vulgaris (common octopus)
Lineage: Eukaryota; Metazoa; Mollusca; Cephalopoda; Octopoda; Octopodidae
Also listed under: 1 other name
Source: RNAcentral
CUUUACGGCCAUAUCACGUUGAAAGCACCGGUUCUCGUCCGAUCACCGAAGUUAAGCAACGUCGAGCCUAGUUAGUACUUAGAUAGGUGACCGCUUGGGAAACCUAGGCGAUGUAAGCG